Molecule: ribosomal RNA, 475 nt
Filed under: uncultured organism
Description: partial 16S ribosomal RNA
Rfam family: Bacterial small subunit ribosomal RNA
Source: RNAcentral
ACACUCCUGCGGGAGGCAGCAGUGGGGAAUUUUGGACAAUGGGCGAAAGCCUGAUCCAGCAAUGCCGCGUGAGUGAAGAAGGCCUUCGGGUUGUAAAGCUCUUUUGUCAGGGAAGAAACGGUGAAAGCUAAUAUCUUUUGCUAAUGACGGUACCUGAAGAAUAAGCACCGGCUAACUACGUGCCAGCAGCCGCGGUAAUACGUAGGGUGCAAGCGUUAAUCGGAAUUACUGGGCGUAAAGCGUGCGCAGGCGGUUUUGUAAGUCUGAUGUGAAAUCCCCGGGCUCAACCUGGGAAUUGCAUUGGAGACUGCAAGGCUAGAAUCUGGCAGAGGGGGGUAGAAUUCCACGUGUAGCAGUGAAAUGCGUAGAUAUGUGGAGGAACACCGAUGGCGAAGGCAGCCCCCUGGGUCAAGAUUGACGCUCAUGCACGAAAGCGUGGGGAGCAAACAGGAUGAGAAACCCGAGUAGUCCCAUG